UUUCAAAGUGUAGAUUUUCAAAAGUUAUGUUUGAUAAUUCUAACUUUCUAUUCCCGAGACCUACACCUUUUUUUUUUUUUAAUAUGUUUCACUUAAAAAAAAUAAAAACCUAAAUUUUUAAAACACACAUCCACCGUUCAUUUUCUUUGUCUGCGAUCACGAGCACUCACACAAAGAGCACAAGCAAUCUAACCCUAAUAUUCUUAUGCCAGCCGCCACCAUCUACUCACUUCUCUCUCUAAAGAAAACAAUUCAAACACAAACACAAAAUUAAAAUAACAAUCUGCAACAAUCCUUCUCUCUCUCAAUGUAACACACAACAAAACCCUAAAACAUAUGUUGCAGCCGCCGCCUAGCAAAUCACACAACACCACUUUCUUUCAGAUCCUCUAAAUCAAUCGAGCACAACCAAAUCGGAACCUUCAACGAUGUCAAUUAUUGAAGAUCCAUGGCGGAGGUGGUUAUGGUGGAAUCCGGUGUACGGCAGAGUUGGUGGUUCGAAGGUGGAUGUAUAGUGGAGGUGUAGUCUCGACGGAAGAAGGUGGUGUUUAGAAUGGUUGUGGUGGUCUGUGGUGGUUGUUAUACGUUGAUAUUGGUUAUGAUGAUGAACGUCGGUGGUUGUGCGGUGAGCCGGAGGUGUCGAUGAAGAGGAUGGUUGAGGAAGGCGGUGAAGGUGAACGGUGACGAUGAUGACGACAGGCGGUGAAGAUGGUGGGUUGAACGGCAAUGGCUGACCCGUGAACGGAGACGGAGAGUGUGGUGAGGAGACGGUGGAUGUUUGCCGGUGGGUUAGGGUGUACGGUGGAGCUCGGAGAUGAUGUUUGCGGUGGUGAAUCGGUGGGAUGGUGAAGUGUGACGGUGAGUGACUGGUUAUUGUUUGGAAGAGAUGCAAAAGGUGGGUCUGUUGGUUCCUGUAUACAAAGGGGUUGGCCAAUGAUUUUUAUUUUGCAAGUUUAUCGGUAAAUUGUUUGGUGAAGGGUGUGUCGGAUCUGUUGUUGAAGUUGUAGGUUGGUGUAAUAUGUGGCUGAAAGGAUAAACAACGAACCGAACCCAACAACUUUCUCUUUCUACUCUUUCUCUAAACUAAAAACGUUCGCCGGAAAAAAGGCAGAAUAGCGACGCCGGAAAACGUGACUUACCGGCGUAUUUACUAAAUACGCCGGAGAACUUGAACUCGCGUUCAAGAUUUAUUUUCGCCGGAAAAGUUUGCCGGAAUUUUUAACUUCGCCGGAAAGUCACCGGAAAACCAAAUUCGCCGGAACUUUCAAUAAAAUCGCUGUAUUCAAAAUAAAAACGCUGUAUUCAAAAUUAAAAACGCUGUAUUCAUAAAAAAUCGCCUAAAAACUUCAAAAACUCAUCUAAAACCUACUGAUUUGAGCUGAGACUUCUUUAAAUGAUAUGAAAUCACUAUGAAUCUUUCUAAUAAUACUAGUCUCAACUCUAAAUCAGCAAACAAAUACUUUAA
Molecule: long non-coding RNA, 1465 nt
Filed under: Helianthus annuus (common sunflower)
Lineage: Eukaryota; Viridiplantae; Streptophyta; Magnoliopsida; Asterales; Asteraceae
Description: hypothetical non coding rna
Source: RNAcentral